ACGUGAUGAGUUAUUAGAUGACGAGUCUGAUUUGGGCAUCUACCCAAUGCGGAUAACUUUUAUACCUUUCCAUUCAUGCAACACUGAAC
Small nucleolar RNA from Colletotrichum gloeosporioides Cg-14, 89 nucleotides. NCBI's taxonomy places the organism in Eukaryota, Fungi, Ascomycota, Sordariomycetes, Glomerellales, Glomerellaceae. The record is from Rfam.